GAGGGGGUCGCGGCUGAUUAGCUAGUUGGUGGGGUAACGGCCCACCAAGGCAAAGAUCAGUAGCCGGCCUGAGAGGGCGCACGGCCACACUGGAACUGAAACACGGUCCAGACUCCUACGGGAGGCAGCAGUGGGGAAUUUUGCGCAAUGGGGGAAACCCUGACGCAGCAACGCCGCGUGGAGGAUGAAGUCCCUUGGGAUGUAAACUCCUUUCGAUCGGGACGAUAAUGACGGUACCGGAAGAAGAAGCACCGGCUAACUCUGUGCCAGCAGCCGCGGUAAUACAGAGGGUGCAAGCGAUGUUCGGAAUUAUUGGGCGUAAAGGGCGCGUAGGCGGUGCGGUAAGACUGUGGUGAAAUCUCCGGGCUCAACUCGGAAAUUGCCGCGGUGACUGCCGUGCUGGAGUGUGGGAGAGGUGAGUGGAAUUCCCGGUGUAGCGGUGAAAUGCGUAGAUAUCGGGAGG
RNAcentral lists this ribosomal RNA (463 nucleotides) under uncultured Acidobacteriota bacterium. RNAcentral's name for it is "bacterial SSU rRNA". It matches the Rfam family "Bacterial small subunit ribosomal RNA", at positions 224 to 704 of the family's 1533-position model. The record is from RNAcentral. Lineage: Bacteria; Pseudomonadati; Acidobacteriota.